AACGAACGCUGGCGGCAUGCCUAACACAUGCAAGUCGAACGAGACCUUCGGGUCUAGUGGCGCACGGGUUCGUAACGCGUGGGAACCUGCCCUUAGGUUCGGAAUAACUCCCCGAAAGGGGUGCUAAUACCGGAUAAUGUCUUCGGACCAAAGAUUUAUCGCCUUUGGAUGGGCCCGCGUUGGAUUAGCUAGUUGGUAGGGUAAAAGCCUACCAAGGCGACGAUCCAUAGCUGGUCUGAGAGGAUGAUCAGCCACACUGGGACUGAGACACGGCCCAGACUCCUACGGGAGGCAGCAGUGGGGAAUAUUGGAACAUCGGCGAAAGCCUGAUCCAGCAAUGCCGCGUGAGUGAUGAAGGCCUUAGGGUUGUAAAGCUCUUUUACCCGGGAUGAUAAUGACAGUACCGGGAGAAUAAGCCCCGGCUAACUACGUG
RNAcentral lists this ribosomal RNA (433 nucleotides) under uncultured bacterium. RNAcentral describes it as "partial 16S ribosomal RNA". It matches the Rfam family "Bacterial small subunit ribosomal RNA", at positions 29 to 507 of the family's 1533-position model. The record is from RNAcentral.